GUGCUUGCUUUGGCAACACGUAUGUUAAAAUUGGAAUGAUAUAGAGAAGAUUAGAAUAGUCCCUGUGCAAAGAUGACACGCAAAUUCAUGAAGCAUUCCAUAAAUUA
This is a small nuclear RNA of Ochotona princeps (American pika), 107 nucleotides long. Lineage: Eukaryota; Metazoa; Chordata; Mammalia; Lagomorpha; Ochotonidae. The record is from Ensembl.